This 502-nucleotide ribosomal RNA is filed under the name uncultured eukaryote. RNAcentral's name for it is "bacterial SSU rRNA". It matches the Rfam family "Eukaryotic small subunit ribosomal RNA", at positions 592 to 957 of the family's 1831-position model. The record is from RNAcentral.
CAAUAGCGUAUAUUAAAGUUGUUGCGGUUAAAAGCUCGUAGUUGGAUUUCUGCGGGGGACGAACGGUCUACCUUAUGGGUAAGUAUCUGUCAGGCCCUUGCAUCCUCACAAAGAACGUCGCUGCGCUUUAUUGCGUGGUACGGAAUUUGUGACUUUUACUUUGAGGAAAUUAGAGUGUUCACGGCAAGCAAACGCUUUGAAUAUGUUAGCAUGGAAUAAUAAUAUAGGACCUUGGUACUAUUUUGUUGGUUUCUAGAACUAAGGUAAUGAUUAAUAGGGACAGUUUGGGGGCAUUUGUAUCAACACGUCAGAGGUGGAAUUCUUGGAUUGUGUUGCGACAAAACUACUCGUCGAACGAACGACUUUAGUUUCCGAACCGGAAAGGUAGUUUUUCGUUUACUUAGUUAGUACUAACGAAAACGGAAAAACGGUAAAAGUUAGGGGGUAGGGGUACGUAACGGAAACGGAACGUACUACGAAGUAACCGUUACCCGUUCGUAGG